CCUGGUAGCGGGGGAUAACUAUUGGAAACGAUAGCUAAUACCGCAUAACAGUAGAUGUUGCAUGACAUCUGCUUGAAAGGUGCAAUUGCAUCACUACCAGAUGGACCUGCGUUGUAUUAGCUAGUUGGUGAGGUAACGGCUCACCAAGGCGACGAUACAUAGCCGACCUGAGAGGGUGAUCGGCCACACUGGGACUGAGACACGGCCCAG
This 210-nucleotide ribosomal RNA is filed under the name uncultured bacterium. Its description in RNAcentral is "partial 16S ribosomal RNA". It matches the Rfam family "Bacterial small subunit ribosomal RNA", at positions 129 to 334 of the family's 1533-position model. The record is from RNAcentral.